GUGUGCUCGUGUCGUAAAGAAGUGUGUCGGUAGUGCAGCAGUGAAAAUUUAACUUGCCAGGCUGUUAGGACAAACGGCCGGGAAAAUCGUGGCAAAUCUAUCCCUUGCUGGGAAGACAAAUCAGCACUGCGAACACGAUAGUGGCACGACACGCGGAAGCAAAACUACCGCUGGAACACGACAGAAGCACAAAUCACGGAAAACGCACGAAGAGAUCCGUUAAUUGCUCGGAAUACUGCUCACACAGUAAAACGGAAGAAUCCGCCCGUUUGGGAAGAAGAAAAAAGGAAGCGCCAAAGAAGCCCCUCGAAAAAGGGGCUUUUCUUUUUCCCCUUAUUUUCUUCUCUUUUUUGGUUUCUGUAUCUUCAUCUCGGGCACUGCUCGAGCGGGUGGCUGCCAGGCGGAAGCACGCCAAUCGCUGGAAUCGUCGAUUUCGGAACAUCCGGGAACGCGAAGGAGCCGACAUUCGGAUAAGCUACGGCAGAGGAGCCUUGUUGGCGAUUGGGAGUAGAUUUCGGCCACAGCAAUUCAUCCGGAGAGUUGCGCCGACGAAGACAGCAGCUUGUUUGCUGUUCGGGGAGCGCCGACAAAAAUCACCGAACAAUGGGAGCAAUCAUCCGGAUUGUCAACAUCCGUGAGUUGUGUUCAUUCCGCCAUCUGGUGGCGGGAAUUGGUGGCGCGAAAUCGAGCAAGGUGGCCAGGAAGCAGACAACGCGAUCGAGCCAGUCCCUAUCGACAGCAGCGGUGUUGGCUGGGGAGUUCAACGAAGUUCGGAGAAAGUUAGUGUCCGUGAUCGAGCCAAGAUUAUUCCACCCGGGCAGUCAAAAGAGCCGGAUCAUCGAAUUUACAUCGACAGCAACGGAAUUGUUGUCCGGAGGUGGGUGGCCAUCGCCGCGCCACGGCCGCUUAACACGAUUUUAUGAAACUCAUCGAUGGUGUCAGCCACGACAUCUGGUGGCUGGUGUCGGUACUACUCGGCACCUAAGGUAGCAACAGCGACGGUCGGUCGUUUGCUCCGUGAGCCACCGGGGUGUGUUGGCCGGUCCCCGGAGGCGCAUUGCCUGGUGGCAAGCGUGAACUGUGGUCAGCAGAUGACGAUCGAACUCAGCGACACUUUGGAAGGGCCCGCAACGGUGAGCAACUCAUCAGGUGGAGCAAUGCACAACGAGAAAAAUAUGUAAGUCAAAAUAUGAAGAUCUCUCUUGUUAUUAUCCA
This is a long non-coding RNA of Uranotaenia lowii, 1215 nucleotides long. RefSeq lists it as uncharacterized. The record is from RefSeq and is a predicted model, not a curated record. The transcript has 4 exons. NCBI's taxonomy places the organism in Eukaryota, Metazoa, Arthropoda, Insecta, Diptera, Culicidae.